UUCUUUAAGAAAAUAAUUUAAAGUAAAACCUGCUCAAUGAAAAUUAAAUAGCCGCAGAAUUCUGUGCUAAGGUAGCAUAAUCACUAGCUUUCUAAUUAAAAGAUAGAAUGAAUGGUUAAACGAAAUAUUUAUUGUUUCUUUUUUCAUUAACGAAAUUAAAUAAAAAGUUAAAAUUCUUUUAGCAAUAAGAAAGACGAUAAGACCCUAAAAACUUACAUUAUUUAGCUGGGGCGGCAUAUUAAAAAAACCUUAAUUUAAACCUCAAAAACAAAACAAAUAAAAUUUUAUAAGAACAGUUACUUUAGGGAUAACAGCGCUACUUUUUUCAAAAGUUCUUAUAUAAAAAAAUACUACGACCUCGAUGUUGAAUUAUAAUCCUAUUUGACGCAAAAGUCAAAAAAGAAAGUCUGUUCGACUUAUAAUUAUAU
RNAcentral lists this ribosomal RNA (428 nucleotides) under Litoporus sp. Br15-107. RNAcentral describes it as "partial 16S ribosomal RNA". The record is from RNAcentral. Lineage: Eukaryota; Metazoa; Arthropoda; Arachnida; Araneae; Pholcidae.